CCUACGGGAGGCAGCAGUGAGGAAUAUUGGUCAAUGGUCGGGAGACUGAACCAGCCAAGCCGCGUGAGGGAUGAAGGUACAGAGUAUCGUAAACCUCUUUUGUCAGGGAACAAAGGCGGGGACGCGUCCCGGGAUGAGUGUACCUGAAGAAAAAGCAUCGGCUAACUCCGUGCCAGCAGCCGCGGUAAUACGGAGGAUGCGAGCGUUAUCCGGAUUUCUUGGGUUCAAAGGGUGCGCAGGCGGUCUGUUAAGUCAGCGGUCCAAGCCCGGGGCUCACCCCCGGCCCGCCGUUGAAACUGGCAGUCUCGAGUUGGAGAGAAGUCUGCGGAAUGCGCGUUGUAGCGG
This 345-nucleotide ribosomal RNA is filed under the name uncultured bacterium. Its description in RNAcentral is "partial 16S ribosomal RNA". It matches the Rfam family "Bacterial small subunit ribosomal RNA", at positions 338 to 681 of the family's 1533-position model. The record is from RNAcentral.